Molecule: ribosomal RNA, 545 nt
Filed under: Fusarium sp. R206
Lineage: Eukaryota; Fungi; Ascomycota; Sordariomycetes; Hypocreales; Nectriaceae
Description: eukaryotic LSU rRNA
Rfam family: 5.8S ribosomal RNA (bases 174-327)
Source: RNAcentral
CGUAAUGCGACGCGGAGGGACAUUACCGAGUUUACAACUCCCAAACCCCUGUGAACAUACCACUUGUUGCCUCGGCGGAUCAGCCCGCUCCCGGUAAAACGGGACGGCCCGCCAGAGGACCCCUAAACUCUGUUUCUAUAUGUAACUUCUGAGUAAAACCAUAAAUAAAUCAAAACUUUCAACAACGGAUCUCUUGGUUCUGGCAUCGAUGAAGAACGCAGCAAAAUGCGAUAAGUAAUGUGAAUUGCAGAAUUCAGUGAAUCAUCGAAUCUUUGAACGCACAUUGCGCCCGCCAGUAUUCUGGCGGGCAUGCCUGUUCGAGCGUCAUUUCAACCCUCAAGCCCUCGGGUUUGGUGUUGGGGAUCGGCGAGCCCUUGCGGCAAGCCGGCCCCGAAAUCUAGUGGCGGUCUCGCUGCAGCCUCCAUUGCGUAGUAGUAAAACCCUCGCAACUGGAACGCGGCGCGGCCAAGCCGUUAAACCCCCAACUUCUGAAUGUUGACCUCGGAUCAGGUAGGAAUACCCGCUGAACUUAAGCAUAUCAAAGC